CACUGUUAAGAACCAGUAAAAUACUAAAAUUGGAAUGACACAGAGAUGAUUAGCAUGGCCCCUGCACAAAGAUGAAUGCAAAUUCGUGAAGAGUUCCAUAUUUUU
Molecule: small nuclear RNA, 105 nt
Organism: Podarcis raffonei (Aeolian wall lizard)
Lineage: Eukaryota; Metazoa; Chordata; Lepidosauria; Squamata; Lacertidae
Source: RefSeq, a predicted model, not a curated record